This 974-nucleotide ribosomal RNA is filed under the name Bacillus sp. Y12. RNAcentral's name for it is "bacterial SSU rRNA". It matches the Rfam family "Bacterial small subunit ribosomal RNA", at positions 45 to 1001 of the family's 1533-position model. Lineage: Bacteria; Bacillati; Bacillota; Bacilli; Caryophanales; Bacillaceae. The record is from RNAcentral.
AGCUUAUACAUGCAAGUCGAGCGGACAGAUGGGAGCUUGCUCCCUGAAGUCAGCGGCGGACGGGUGAGUAACACGUGGGCAACCUGCCUGUAAGACUGGGAUAACUCCGGGAAACCGGGGCUAAUACCGGAUAAUUCUUUCCCUCACAUGAGGGAAAGCUGAAAGAUGGUUUCGGCUAUCACUUACAGAUGGGCCCGCGGCGCAUUAGCUAGUUGGUGAGGUAACGGCUCACCAAGGCAACGAUGCGUAGCCGACCUGAGAGGGUGAUCGGCCACACUGGGACUGAGACACGGCCCAGACUCCUACGGGAGGCAGCAGUAGGGAAUCUUCCGCAAUGGACGAAAGUCUGACGGAGCAACGCCGCGUGAGUGAUGAAGGUUUUCGGAUCGUAAAACUCUGUUGUUAGGGAAGAACAAGUACCGGAGUAACUGCCGGUACCUUGACGGUACCUAACCAGAAAGCCACGGCUAACUACGUGCCAGCAGCCGCGGUAAUACGUAGGUGGCAAGCGUUGUCCGGAAUUAUUGGGCGUAAAGCGCGCGCAGGCGGUUCCUUAAGUCUGAUGUGAAAGCCCCCGGCUCAACCGGGGAGGGUCAUUGGAAACUGGGGAACUUGAGUGCAGAAGAGAAGAGUGGAAUUCCACGUGUAGCGGUGAAAUGCGUAGAGAUGUGGAGGAACACCAGUGGCGAAGGCGACUCUUUGGUCUGUAACUGACGCUGAGGCGCGAAAGCGUGGGGAGCAAACAGGAUUAGAUACCCUGGUAGUCCACGCCGUAAACGAUGAGUGCUAAGUGUUAGAGGGUUUCCGCCCUUUAGUGCUGCAGCAAACGCAUUAAGCACUCCGCCUGGGGAGUACGGCCGCAAGGCUGAAACUCAAAAGGAAUUGACGGGGGCCCGCACAAGCGGUGGAGCAUGUGGUUUAAUUUCGAAGCAACGCGAGAACCUUACCAGGUCUUGACAUCUGCUGACACCCUA